GCCAGUGUGGCAUAGUGGUUUGAGUGUUGGACUGUGACUCUGGAGACCAGGGUUUGAGUCCCCACUCACC
This 70-nucleotide transfer RNA is filed under the name Phrynosoma platyrhinos (Desert horned lizard). RNAcentral describes it as "tRNA-OTHER". Lineage: Eukaryota; Metazoa; Chordata; Lepidosauria; Squamata; Phrynosomatidae. The record is from RNAcentral.